Molecule: long non-coding RNA, 250 nt
Organism: Tyto alba (common barn owl)
Lineage: Eukaryota; Metazoa; Chordata; Aves; Strigiformes; Tytonidae
Exons: 4
Source: RefSeq, a predicted model, not a curated record
GUUCAGGACUUGUACCUAAAUUUUGGCCUGCCCAUUGCCUGCUUGUUUCAUGAAAAUAAUAGUAUCAUGUUCUGCACACAGUUGGAAACUGAAGGGUACUGAGGAGAGGAGAAAGGUGGGUCAGAGCCCCAGGUGUCUCCAUAGCAGGAUAACUUCAGCAAUGAAGAAACCUUGAAGUCCUGGCCACUGCUUUGCGAUGACCCCACAGGUCUUCUUAAGAUCUUUCCCAACAGGAGGAGGUGAAACAUCA